UGGAAUGUACAGUGCAAUUAUUCUAAGGCUGUGAAUGGUAGAAUUUGGCUGCUUUGAAAAAUCACAUUCAGAUACAAAUCUCCCUUGUGACUGACCAGUUCAUCCAAUGCUUCAUUGAAGACUCCAUUAGUCAUGUCAGGACCCAUGCCAGUAUCAUCUAUGCUCAGAAUGAUAUUCACCUUAGAGAACAGCUGUGGACAGAUUUGAGGAGCAUUCCUAUACCCAGCCAGGACACUUGGUUAUUGAGUGGUGAUUUCAACAAUGUGUUAAGCCCUGAUGAUAGAAUUGGAUCUCCUGUCACUGAAGCUGAAGUUAAAGGAUUUAAGACUGCUAUUAAUGACCUGCAGCUCACUCCUUUCAGAGCUACAGGAUGGCAUUUCACUUGGUCUAAUAAACAGGGUACUUUUAAGACUGUUAUUAAUGACCUGCAGCUCACUCCUCUCAGAGCUACAGGUGGCAUUUCACUUGGUCUAAUAAACAAGGUACUGCAACCAGAGUUUACAGUAAAAUUGAUUGGGCACUGGGAAAUUACCAAUGGUUACUGCAAAAUGGUCACUUAGAAGCUGAUUUCAUGAAUUCCUCUGUGUCUG
RNAcentral lists this long non-coding RNA (590 nucleotides) under Nicotiana benthamiana. Its description in RNAcentral is "long non-coding RNA (NBEN_LNC031293)". The record is from RNAcentral. Lineage: Eukaryota; Viridiplantae; Streptophyta; Magnoliopsida; Solanales; Solanaceae.